CAGCCGUAAACUAUGCGCGUUAGGUGUAUCGGUGACCACGAGUCACCGAGGUGCCGAAGGGAAACCGUGAAACGUGCCGCCUGGGAAGUACGGUCGCAAGGCUGAAACUUAAAGGAAUUGGCGGGGGGAGCACCACAACAGGUGGAGCCUGCGGUUUAAUUGGACUCAACGCCGGGAAGCUCACCGGAUAGGACAGCAGAAUGAUUGCCGGGCUGAAGACUCUGCAUGACUAGCUGAGAGGUGGUGCAUGGCGUCAGUGACU
Molecule: ribosomal RNA, 262 nt
Filed under: uncultured archaeon
Lineage: Archaea
Description: partial 16S ribosomal RNA
Rfam family: Archaeal small subunit ribosomal RNA
Source: RNAcentral